Molecule: microRNA, 21 nt
Filed under: Pteropus alecto (black flying fox)
Lineage: Eukaryota; Metazoa; Chordata; Mammalia; Chiroptera; Pteropodidae
Description: pal-miR-101-5p
Gene: pal-miR-101-5p
Source: miRBase by way of RNAcentral
GGUUAUCAUGGUACCGAUGCU